AUGAUUCAGAGUGCUCAUAAGCGGCGCUUGCCUAUGGUUGUUCUGAAGUUGGACUUCAGAAAAGCUUUUGACAGUGUUAGUUGGGCCUGCAUUUCCAACAUUAUGGAGGCAAGGGGCUUCCCCCGCAGAUGGAUUAGCUGGUUUUCUUCUCUCCUGCACACCUCCAGCUCCAGGAUCAUGAUCAAUGGCAAACUUGGGGACACGAUCGUCCCCCGGAGAGGGUUCAGGCAGGGUGAUUUGUUGUCCCCAUAUUUGUUCAUUUUGGUAGCUGACGUGUUGCAACGUAUGUGCUGCAUGGCAUUUGAGGUCGGGGGUUUGGUUCACCCUUUGGGCUCUGACAGGUUGUUUCCGGUGUUGCAAUACGCCGACGACACUCUGCUUCUCUUUCAGGGUAGCAUAUAG
This 402-nucleotide ribosomal RNA is filed under the name Triticum aestivum (bread wheat). RNAcentral describes it as "partial small subunit ribosomal RNA". Lineage: Eukaryota; Viridiplantae; Streptophyta; Magnoliopsida; Poales; Poaceae. The record is from RNAcentral.